This is a non-coding RNA of Schizosaccharomyces pombe (fission yeast), 3950 nucleotides long. Lineage: Eukaryota; Fungi; Ascomycota; Schizosaccharomycetes; Schizosaccharomycetales; Schizosaccharomycetaceae. The record is from the annotation of a GenBank genome assembly.
CGGAAAGAGUAACUGCUAACCAGCAAUAUACGCUAAAGACUGUUGAAAGAAAGUAGGGUGAUAAAAAAUGUUUUAAGUAAUUAUUAGUCAACAAGAUCCGUGUGGAAACUAUCGGAACACUUGAGACAAGGGUAUAAAAGAUCGAGAAAGACAAGGUGUAUGACUAAGAUAAAAAAAAAUUGCUUAGUGAUGUAUAGAAUAGACAAUCAACAAAGCACUAAACUACACAGGCGAAAACGGUAACAACAACGUAAAUAAUGAAUUUACGCUCCUUUGAACGAACUAUACCAAACGAUAGCAACUAUGUCAGCAGUCCGUGAAGAACCAAGUAAAAACAAAGUGUUAACGAAACUAUUAAUUAAAAGAUUGAAGUUUUCGCAGGCGUUGAAAAGAAGUAAUACUGAGGCUUACUAAGAGUUACCGAUAAUCUAUUUAUAUAUACCCAAGUCAAAAACUGGGAGUAAGAGAAUUCGCGAAUUUAAAAAAACGGAAAAUCAUCGCUACUAAAAAUCCGACCCUCUACACGAUUUGAUUGGUUUGCUACAGCUUAAUGUGCAUCCUAACCCCUGAUGUAAUGGGGUAGACUUUACAAUUUGAUUGGUGUUCUAAAAAACGGGGCAUGAGCUCAUACCCAUGAUUACCCACAACAACCGAUGUUUACUCCAUACUUCAAUUGCCUAACUACGUCAUUAUCAAGUCACAACACGGUAGUUUCCUUUAAAAUGUUCCCAAGUCGGCUAUCCAGAACCAAUCAUACGCAAAAGCGAAUGUCAAAACCCCAGAAAAUAGUCAGGAGACUGCAUCAAGACAUGAUUCGAUGUAAUCUAUGACGCAGAGCACAAUUUUGAAAUACAGGAGGGAGAAGCGAGUGAAAAGUCUCAUUCAUAACGUCACGGAUGCGUGUAAAAAUUUGUGGGGCCGUGAGUUGGUCAUGGGGGUACAGUUUGAUUAUGGGGGUUAUGGGAAUAUGUAACGGAUUGGGAUGUGUGUUUUAUAUGUGUAUGAAAUGUACAUACUGUAUAAGUAGUGUAGAUAUGCUUGUUAAAGAGUUAAUCCCAACAUAUGUGAUCAUGUUAAUGGAGGCAUUGCACUGGUUUUAAGUCAGACUCUAGUUUAACUCGGACUUUGGCUUAGCGCGGACUCGGACUCGGAUUCGGAGUAGGACUUGGACGGAGAAUAGUAUAGAAUGAAAAAACUGCAAGCACGAGGUUGCAUAUGUAAUCAAUUUAGCUCUACUGCCAAACACUAGUAGAAGAUUUCAUCGCUUUUAAUCUGUCGGCCGUUUGAAUUUGCCAGAUGCAAAUGCAAGUUUAAAAUUUGCAUGGUGCUGGUUUAUUAAUUGAUAUAGGAUGAAGUGUACAGCGUAAAGGAAAGUUAUGGAUAAUUGGUAUGCUGCUUGUUUUUUUACAAAACGAUAUUUUUUAGAGUAGUAAUAAAUGAUGUGAUUUUUGAAAUUGCUUUAACUUGUCAGACAUGUCUUUCCUUUUUAAAAUAAAUUUUUCAUCAGUGGAUUUUUUUAGAGUCACUUUUAUUUCAUUUAACAUUCAUUUCUCUGUUUGUAGAAAAAUCAUGUUUGAAAAGGAACAAAUUUAUUUUCAAUAAAACUCUUUUCAUACGAUUAAUUUUUUUUUCCUUUACUUACAAUCGACUUCAAAUUCAUAAUCGAUUUCACUCUCGCAAGCGUUUUCGUCAGUUCAUUCGGCUUGUUUCAUAGUAUCGUGGCUGGUCCAAACCCAUCAUCAAACUUAACCGACUCAUUUUGUUUCAUCAGCCACUCUUUAUUCCUUGCAUCUAAUGAAUGUUUUUGCAUGAAAUGGUUUUCACUUUGUGCCACCCAACUUAGCUUUAAGAGUGCCGACCUCCUUCGUUCCACUUAUCCCCCUACAUAUAUAUAUAUAUAUAUAAAAUCUGCACUCACGGACGCAUUAGGCCGAUCGAUUCCUCCUAAAGUCUAUGUGUGCAUGAGGACAUUUUUCAGCUGGACAAAUGUUCCUAUAAAGUGGACUUAGCCGUAUUUGCCAUGGGAAACGAAUCUUCUUCUUGUCUGCUUUCCCUCUUUCAAGAAAUGAUUCAACCCGAUUUUCCUAUCGUUAGUUUGAUAUAACAAAAUGGAACGAAGUGUGCAAACAAAAUAACUUGCACUUCCUUAUUUUGACAUUUCCGAGAUAGACACUACUACAAUGCAGAACGGUUUUGUAGGUUAGGUCGGUAGGUAGGAAGAAAGGGUAUAUAGUAGAUAUAGAUGGGCUUUGUUCGUUUCUUUAGUUGAUUGAUUUAAAUGAAACGAACAAGUCCAUAUGAUGUAUGGAUAUCUGUUAAUAUGGGUUUAAACAAUUAAAUGGAAUUUCCGCCAUGUUUUUGCAUUACUCAAGCUGGAUAUAGGGAGAGAAUGAGUUUGUACGAAAUGGAACAAGAUUAGUAUGACUAUGGGACUGGAUGAACAAUUGCAACUUGUACAAUAGGCGUGAUCGAGACUAGGAUGUUGGGAAGAAUGAUAUUAUUAAUAAUGCAACGAUGAAAACACCAAAGAUCAUCCUGUUUGUUCGUUGGUUCAGCAAACAACUGGCGUAAAUCGUAACAUUUUAAGAAGUAUCAAAUAAAUUAGUAUCUCCGAUGUUGCGAUCGAGAUAAGCAAGCACUUAGGCUACAUCGAAACAAAAGUCGUUAGAGAAAGUUACUUGCAAAAUGGAUAGCAUCUCGCUUUCCCAUGGUAUCAAAUUGCAUCAAGUCUCGACUCUUGCUCAUGUAGCGUUGUCCGCUCUAUUUUUUCCCCUAAACACUUGGAUUUUAUUCAUUUAUUGGAGCAACAUUUACCUCGUCCUCGGUUACUAUUCUAGUGACCACUACUGCUGUUGUUGCUAUUCCUAGUGUUUCCUUUUUUUUCGUUCGGAUAGGAAUUUCCCGGUGUACAUUUUAUUUGGCAGCGUUUUAAACCACUAGAACCGUUGAACCGUUUCCUUCAUAACUUUUCAUCGGCCUAUGCAAGUAAAAGUCGACGGAUUCGCUACUUAGCAUCUUAUUGGGAUUGCGAAAUGAUUGUACAAUGGUGAGCACAAAUUGACUCAUUGUUGUACACAAAUCUUCGUACUUUUGUUACUAAGUGUCCCUUUCCUUACUAUGUGCAAUUUCCACCAUCCUCGCUUCAUUUUCCUUGCCCAUCCUCACACUCACCUCCAACGUUAAUAUGUAAAGUUUCGUAAAUGUAUUUUAUGCAGCUCCUUUAUGCAUUUACUGGAGUCUAAGCUCGGCUUAUAAAGGAUAACGUGGUUCUUCCGACUCCUUGCUUUCACCGUUCAGCCUGACUGCGGAGCUACAAGGAUGUUAUUGGCUUUGCUUGCGAAUUGCUCGUCCAAGCGAGCCAACUAAACCUCUUGAUGCCUCGCCUACUGUUCCCUUCCCUAGCGUUACCCGAGAAAGUGGCGCAAACCUUCCCCAUAUUUCCUGCGUCAUAGAAACGAACCAAUCUUAGAGGUUAGACCACUUUAUCUGUUCUCGAUUCAUCCACGUAUUGUGCGAUCAUUUUGUAUAUAAACAAGAGAGAUGGCUUCCUGCUCUGCUCAACACACACUCUCUUGGUAAACUGUUAAUCUAGAAAACCGGGAAGUUUCCGUUCUUUUCGUUAACGUUUUAUUUAUAUUUCAAGUCUCUAUUCUGUUCACUUGGAAAUUAUCAUUUAUCAGCGCUUUGUUUUUUUUGGAGCUACUGUUUUAGAAGAAGUUUUGAUCAAUUCUUUGUUUUAAGGGUAUACACAUUAUUUUUGGAAUUAUUCAGCCAUCAUGAAUUUCGAUAACUUGAAGAGUUUUGCCGGCAAGGCCUACAACGAGUACCAAAAGUACAACAACAAUGACAGCAACAAUAAUAGCAGCAAUAACAAUAACAACAAUAGUGAUAAUAACUCCUAUGGAGGAAAUAACAACAAUGACAAUUCCUAUGGAGGAAAUAACAACAAU